This 519-nucleotide unclassified non-coding RNA is filed under the name Hevea brasiliensis (rubber tree). The record is from RNAcentral. Lineage: Eukaryota; Viridiplantae; Streptophyta; Magnoliopsida; Malpighiales; Euphorbiaceae.
CUCCACUUAACUAAGUUCCUCUCUUCCUUGGGGUGGCGGUUAUCAAGAUUCUUCCGACCAGUAAGUAGUUCAAGCAGAACAAUUCCAAAACUCCAUACAUUGCUCUUUGGAGUCAAUAGCCCUCUCUCCAGUGUCUCCAAAGAGAGAUUUGCCACAGCCACUGAACUAUUCGAGAUCUCAGUCUCAGGAAUUUGACCAACACAACCAUAUCCUGACAGCUUUGCACUAAAAUCUUUAUCAAUCUGUAUAUUGCCAGUAGAGAAUUCAUUGUACACUGCCUGAAAAGGCCCUUCUUCAUGCAAAAAAGUAAGACCUUGUGCAGCACAUAAAGCAAUUUUCAUUCUUGUAUUCCAAUCAAUGGGAGGCCCAUCUGAUCUCCCAUACAAAAGUCGAUCCAAGCUUCCAUGAUAAAGCCUCUCGUAAACCAACAUCCUCUGCUCCGACCCAUCACGUGCAUGGUAUCCAAGCAAUUUACAUAGGUUUGGAUGUCGCAAGGAUGCAAAGGUAUUAACCUCAUUU